RNAcentral lists this ribosomal RNA (486 nucleotides) under Kodamaea ohmeri. RNAcentral's name for it is "eukaryotic LSU rRNA". It matches the Rfam family "Eukaryotic large subunit ribosomal RNA", at positions 69 to 648 of the family's 3401-position model. The record is from RNAcentral. Lineage: Eukaryota; Fungi; Ascomycota; Pichiomycetes; Serinales; Debaryomycetaceae.
CAGGGAUUGCCUCAGUAACGGCGAGUGAAGCGGCAAAAGCUCAAAUUUGAAAUCCCCCCGGGGAGUUGUAAUUUGAAGAUUGCGUCUUGGAGGCGACCGUGUCUAUGUUCCUUGGAACAGGACGUCACAGAGGGUGAGAAUCCCGUGCGGCACGGCCCCCGGCUCCUUAUAAGGCGCUCUCGACGAGUCGAGUUGUUUGGGAAUGCAGCUCAAAGUGGGUGGUAAAUUCCAUCUAAAGCUAAAUACAGGCGAGAGACCGAUAGCGAACAAGUACAGUGAUGGAAAGAUGAAAAGCACUUUGAAAAGAGAGUGAAACAGCACGUGAAAUUGUUGAAAGGGAAGGGCAUGCCGUCAGAUUGUCAGUGUGGGUAAGAAGCGGGGUACAAAGACUGUGGAACGUGGCCCUCGGGUGUUAUAGCCGCAGUUCAUGCCCCGUCUCUUUCCGAGGCCUGCUUUGAGGACACCGACGUAAUGACGGUACGCCGC